This 151-nucleotide long non-coding RNA is filed under the name Mus musculus (house mouse). Its description in RNAcentral is "predicted gene, 50037". Lineage: Eukaryota; Metazoa; Chordata; Mammalia; Rodentia; Muridae. The record is from RNAcentral.
UGACUGCCGCUCGAGGUCCCGAAGCUGUGAUUCGUAGCGCUUGCUGAGGAGGGCAAAGGGAGGCAAACGGAGAGGAGAUAUCAGCCAGGGCUCAAUGAUAUGGUGGAAGACUGGAGGAGGCGGCAGCAGGCGCAUCUGUGUCAGGUCAGCC